RNAcentral lists this ribosomal RNA (479 nucleotides) under Mycobacterium kumamotonense. RNAcentral describes it as "Mycolicibacter kumamotonensis bacterial SSU rRNA". It matches the Rfam family "Bacterial small subunit ribosomal RNA", at positions 28 to 508 of the family's 1533-position model. Lineage: Bacteria; Bacillati; Actinomycetota; Actinomycetes; Mycobacteriales; Mycobacteriaceae. The record is from RNAcentral.
GACGAACGCUGGCGGCGUGCUUAACACAUGCAAGUCGAACGGAAAGGCCCUUUCGGGGGUACUCGAGUGGCGAACGGGUGAGUAACACGUGGGUGAUCUGCCCUGCACUCUGGGAUAAGCCUGGGAAACUGGGUCUAAUACCGGAUAGGACCAUGGGAUGCAUGUUCUGUGGUGGAAAGCUUUUGCGGUGUGGGAUGGGCCCGCGGCCUAUCAGCUUGUUGGUGGGGUGAUGGCCUACCAAGGCGACGACGGGUAGCCGGCCUGAGAGGGUGUCCGGCCACACUGGGACUGAGAUACGGCCCAGACUCCUACGGGAGGCAGCAGUGGGGAAUAUUGCACAAUGGGCGCAAGCCUGAUGCAGCGACGCCGCGUGGGGGAUGACGGCCUUCGGGUUGUAAACCUCUUUCAGUAUCGGCGAAGCUUGCGGGUUUUCUCGCAGGUGACGGUAGGUACAGAAGAAGCACCGGCCAACUACGUGC